Molecule: non-coding RNA, 81 nt
Organism: Vibrio sp. AND4
Lineage: Bacteria; Pseudomonadati; Pseudomonadota; Gammaproteobacteria; Vibrionales; Vibrionaceae
Source: Rfam
UUUUGCGUUUGGAUUGUUAUCCACAAUCGCGUUACCUACUGCGUGCAAAAGGUGGGUUUUACCUAAGCCCGUGCCACCGUA